Long non-coding RNA from Wasmannia auropunctata (little fire ant), 172 nucleotides. RefSeq lists it as uncharacterized. The record is from RefSeq and is a predicted model, not a curated record. NCBI's taxonomy places the organism in Eukaryota, Metazoa, Arthropoda, Insecta, Hymenoptera, Formicidae. The transcript is spliced from 3 exons.
CUGCAUCCGACUACACCUUUGUACAAUUACGAUACACAGGAGCUCACAGAAGAGUGCAAAACUGCCCUACAGCGAAUUUUUAAAAUAUGCGAUGUAGAUAACGACGGACUUUUAAACGAUAUGGAGUUGAACGCGUUUCAGCAGUGGUGCUUCAACACGCCGUUACAACCGC